This 509-nucleotide ribosomal RNA is filed under the name uncultured Flavobacteriaceae bacterium. RNAcentral's name for it is "bacterial SSU rRNA". It matches the Rfam family "Bacterial small subunit ribosomal RNA", at positions 536 to 1050 of the family's 1533-position model. Lineage: Bacteria; Pseudomonadati; Bacteroidota; Flavobacteriia; Flavobacteriales; Flavobacteriaceae. The record is from RNAcentral.
AAGCGUUAUCCGGAAUCAUUGGGUUUAAAGGGUCCGUAGGUGGAUAUUAAGUCAGAGGUGAAAUCUUGCAGCUCAACUGUAAAAUUGCCUUUGAUACUGGUUAUCUUGAGUUAUUAUGAAGUAGUUAGAAUAUGUAGUGUAGCGGUGAAAUGCAUAGAUAUUACAUAGAAUACCAAUUGCGAAGGCAGAUUACUAAUAAUCAACUGACACUGAUGGACGAAAGCGUGGGUAGCGAACAGGAUUAGAUACCCUGGUAGUCCACGCCGUAAACGAUGGUUACUAGCUGUUUGGACCUUGUGUCUGAGUGGCUAAGCGAAAGUGAUAAGUAACCCACCUGGGGAGUACGUUCGCAAGAAUGAAACUCAAAGGAAUUGACGGGGGCCCGCACAAGCGGUGGAGCAUGUGGUUUAAUUCGAUGAUACGCGAGGAACCUUACCAGGGCUUAAAUGUAAGUUGCAUUAGUUAGAGAUAGCUAUUUCUUCGGACCACUUACAAGGUGCUGCAUGGUU